AGUGGGCCCUCCCUCCCUCAGAAGAUGAAGAGGGGAAGGGAGAGGUGAGGGGAGGCUCUGCUCAGCCCUGAGGCACAGAAGACAGAAUCGGUGAUGACCACCACCAUGGCCUGGUCUCCUUUCCUUCUCACUCUCCUCGCUCACUGCACAGGGUCCUGGGCCCAGUCAGUGUUGACUCAGCCGCCCUCAGUGUCGGGGUCCCUGGGCCAGAGGGUCACCAUCUCCUGCAUUGGAAGCAGCUCCAACAUCGGGGGUGGUAAUUAUGUGAGCUGGUACCAACAAGUCCCAGGAACGGCCCCCAGGCUCCUGAUUUAUGAGAAUAACAAACGACCCUCCGGGGUCCCCGAUCGAUUCUCUGGCUCCAAGUCUGGCAGCUCAGGCUCCCUGACCAUCACUGGGCUGCAGGCUGACGACGAGGCUGAUUAUUAUUGUGCAUCAUGA
Molecule: non-coding RNA, 441 nt
Organism: Felis catus (domestic cat)
Lineage: Eukaryota; Metazoa; Chordata; Mammalia; Carnivora; Felidae
Source: the annotation of a RefSeq genome assembly